ACUAACAGGAUUCCCCUAGUAACGGCGAGUGAAGCGGGAAGAGCUCAAAUUUGAAAUCUGGCAGUCUUCGAUUGUCCGAGUUGUAAUCUAUAGAGGCGUUUUCCGUGCCGGACCGUGUCCAAGUCUCCUGGAAAGGAGUAUCAAAGAGGGUGAUAAUCCCGUACUUAACACGACCACCGGUGCUCUGUGAUACGUCUUCUACGAGUCGAGUUGUUUGGGAAUGCAGCUCAAAAUGGGUGGUGAAUUCCAUCUAAAGCUAAAUAUUGGCGAGAGACCGAUAGCGAACAAGUACCGUGAGGGAAAGAUGAAAAGCACUUUGGAAAGAGAGUUAAACAGUACGUGAAAUUGUUGAAAGGGAAACGAUUGAAGUCAGUCGUGUUCUUUGGAUUCAGCCAGUUCUGCUGGUCUACUUCCUUGGAACGGGUCAACAUCAGUUUUGUCCGGUGGAUAAAGGUAGUAGGAAUGUGACUUCUCCGGAAGUGUUAUAGCCUAUUAUCACAUACACUGGGUGAGACUGAGGACUGCAGCUCGCCUUUAUGGCCGGCCUUCGGGCACGUUCGAGCUUAGGAUGUUGACAUAAUGCUUAACAG
This 590-nucleotide ribosomal RNA is filed under the name Trichosporon asahii var. asahii. Its description in RNAcentral is "LSU rRNA". It matches the Rfam family "Eukaryotic large subunit ribosomal RNA", at positions 64 to 643 of the family's 3401-position model. The record is from RNAcentral. Lineage: Eukaryota; Fungi; Basidiomycota; Tremellomycetes; Trichosporonales; Trichosporonaceae.